RNAcentral lists this ribosomal RNA (253 nucleotides) under uncultured bacterium. RNAcentral describes it as "partial 16S ribosomal RNA". It matches the Rfam family "Bacterial small subunit ribosomal RNA", at positions 524 to 776 of the family's 1533-position model. The record is from RNAcentral.
UACGUAGGGUGCGAGCGUUAAUCGGAAUUACUGGGCGUAAAGCGUGCGCAGGCGGUUCGCCAAGUCAGGUGUGAAAUCCCCGGGCUUAACCUGGGAAUUGCGCUUGAAACUAGCGGGCUUGAGUGUGGCAGAGGGGGGUGGAAUUCCACGUGUAGCAGUGAAAUGCGUAGAGAUGCGGAGGAACACCGAUGGCGAAGGCAGCCCCCUGGGUCAACACUGACGCUCAUGCACGAAAGCGUGGGGAGCAAACAGG